GACGAACCACCCAAACGUUAUUCGGAAUUACUGGGCUUAAAGGGUGCGUAGGCGGCGCGGAAAGUCAGAUGUGAAAUCCCUCGGCUUAACCGAGGAACUGCGUUUGAAACUACCGUGCUUGAGUAAGACAGAGGUAAGCGGAACUUCGGGUGGAGCGGUGAAAUGCGUUGAUAUCCGAAGGAACACCGGUGGCGAAAGCGGCUUACUGGGUCUUUACUGACGCUGAUGCACGAAAGCUAGGGGAGCAAACGGGAUUAGAAACCCCCGUAGUCC
Molecule: ribosomal RNA, 273 nt
Filed under: uncultured bacterium
Lineage: Bacteria
Description: partial 16S ribosomal RNA
Rfam family: Bacterial small subunit ribosomal RNA
Source: RNAcentral